CUACGGGCCGCUGCAGUGGGGAAUAUUGCACAAUGGGCGCAAGCCUGAUGCAGCCAUGCCGCGUGUAUGAAGAAGGCCUUCGGGUUGUAAAGUACUUUCAGCGGGGAGGAAGGGAGUAAAGUUAAUACCUCUGCUCAUUGACGUUACCCGCAGAAGAAGCACCGGCUAACUCCGUGCCAGCAGCCGCGGUAAUACGGAGGGUGCAAGCGUUAAUCGGAAUUACUGGGCGUAAAGCGCACGCAGGCGGUUUGUUAAGUCAGAUGUGAAAUCCCCGGGCUCAACCUGGGAACUGCAUCUGAUACUGGCAAGCUUGAGUCUCGUAGAGGGGGGUAGAAGUCCAGGUGUAGCGGUGAAAUGCGUAGAGAUCUGGAGGAAUACCGGUGGCGAAGGCGGCCCCCUGGACGAAGACUGACGCUCAGGUGCGAAAGCGUGGGGAGCAAACAGGAUUAGAUACCCGGGUAGUC
RNAcentral lists this ribosomal RNA (464 nucleotides) under uncultured bacterium. RNAcentral's name for it is "partial 16S ribosomal RNA". It matches the Rfam family "Bacterial small subunit ribosomal RNA", at positions 339 to 795 of the family's 1533-position model. The record is from RNAcentral.